Molecule: ribosomal RNA, 265 nt
Filed under: uncultured Planctomycetales bacterium
Lineage: Bacteria; Pseudomonadati; Planctomycetota; Planctomycetia; Planctomycetales
Description: partial 16S ribosomal RNA
Rfam family: Bacterial small subunit ribosomal RNA
Source: RNAcentral
GAGCACGUAGGUGGGUUUGUAAGUCAGAUGUGAGAGCCUUCUGUUCAACGGAAGAAUUGCAUCUGAAACUGCGAGUCUUGAGUGUAGGAGGGGAGAAUGGAACUUCUGGUGGAGCGGUGAAAUGCGUAGAUAUCAGAAGGAACGCCGGCGGCGAAAGCGAUUCUCUGGCCUAUUACUGACACUCAGUGUGCGAAAGCUAGGGGAGCAAACGGGAUUAGAUACCCCGGUAGUCCUAGCCGUAAACGAUGGGCACUAAGUAGAGGGG